This 89-nucleotide transfer RNA is filed under the name marine sediment metagenome. Its description in RNAcentral is "tRNA-Tyr". It matches the Rfam family "tRNA". From Rfam's summary of the family: Transfer RNA (tRNA) molecules are approximately 80 nucleotides in length. The record is from RNAcentral.
GGCGGGGUGGGUGAGUGGCUAAAACCACCGGGCUGUAAACUCGGCGCCCUGACAGGGCUACGCAGGUUCGAAUCCUGCCCCCGCCACCA